This 503-nucleotide ribosomal RNA is filed under the name uncultured bacterium. RNAcentral's name for it is "bacterial SSU rRNA". It matches the Rfam family "Bacterial small subunit ribosomal RNA", at positions 335 to 802 of the family's 1533-position model. The record is from RNAcentral.
ACUCCUACGGGAGGCAGCAGUGGGGAAUAUUGCACAAUGGGCGCAAGCCUGAUGCAGCCAUGCCGCGUGUAUGAAGAAGGCCUUCGGGUUGUAAAGUACUUUCAGCAGUUAGGAAGGAUGGGAGUCGGUUAAUGCAGUCAGGCCUGCCGCAUUUUCAGUUAGCACGGUUUAAGGCCUGGCCAGGAAAGAAGCACCGGGCUAACUCCGUGCCAGCAGCCGCGGUAAUACGGAGGGUGCGAGCGUUAAUCGGAAUUACUGGGCGUAAAGCGCAUGCAGGUGGUUUGUUAAGUCAGAUGUGAAAGCCCGGGGCUCAACCUCGGAAUUGCAUUUGAAACUGGCAAACUAGAGUACUGUAGAGGGGGGUAGAAUUUCAGGUGUAGCGGUGAAAUGCGUAGAGAUCUGAAGGAAUACCGGUGGCGAAGGCGGCCCCCUGGACAGAUACUGACACUCAGAUGCGAAAGCGUGGGGAGCAAACAGGAUUAGAUACCCUGGUAGCUACGAGU